Molecule: long non-coding RNA, 1065 nt
Organism: Anopheles gambiae (African malaria mosquito)
Lineage: Eukaryota; Metazoa; Arthropoda; Insecta; Diptera; Culicidae
Exons: 2
Source: RefSeq, a predicted model, not a curated record
AUUGCGGAAUACCUAAUGUAUUUAACGAUCAAAUGCUUCUCAGUGGUUUAUAGUUGGAGCACGUGAGUUAAUUACCUCUUUUUUAUAUAACCAAACCUACAAGUGGCAGCAAUUGGCGGAGGAAACUCGCGUUCAUGAGCAAUCCAGAAAAACGCGCAAGAAACACCCGUCAACAUAUACCAUACUUGUUCCUGACACCAUAUACGACACUUUUGCUGUUUUACUUUAAUAGUGUAAUAUUAAACUAUUACUUGAAAUAAAAUAAGAGCUUUGAUUGCCUAUGUGAUAAUUACAAUCAAUGAAAUGCUCAAUGUUUACAGAUCGUGAUCUUGAUUUUACCGCACCGAAAAACACAACAUAAAGGAACAUAAAUGAUUUAACUCGUUAUGCGAGAUUUUAUUAGUUAUGAGAGAUUUUUGAUUUGCUUGUUAUGCGAACAACUCGUCGUUCCACUGUACUCAUCAUAUUUAAAUUUCCACUCCAGGAAUUUCCACUAUACCCUAAUACAACCGUUUAUUAUUAACUCAUAUUUGUAUUUUUAUUAUUCUUCGUAUUUAUAUUUUAUAGUGAAAUUCAAUGUGUAUGUGUGUUAAGUCAUGUUCAAUUACUUUAGAGGCACUCUGAAUAAUUAUAUUAUUAUCAUGCGUUUGUAUUAUGACGAUUCCUUAUUUUGAGACGCUCUCCAAGGUCUCACAUCCGUGGUGUCGGCCUAACCCUACCCUGGGGGCCUUGACUUGAUUCAGCAGUUGUACUAAAUAAGAAGAAAAAUUGUAUGUUUCUUUUCUUUAUUAGGGAGCAACAGUCCAAAAACCUCGUAACACAUAAACAGUUAUAUGUUAAGGUUUAUCAAUCGUGAAAAUCAAAGUCUUUAUUAAUUCAUACGGAAGUACACGAUACAUCUGCAAAAUAAAUGCUAGACGAAACUUAAGAUAACGAGCCAUUUUUACUUAAGGCCAACUUAAGAUACGUAUCAUACACUAGCCGUAUAUCAUGAAGUACUUAGGUUUAGAUGUAAAAAAGGUUAUGACUUCGAGGAAAAUCCACAAGUAGGAAAAAAUGAACAUA